The sequence is a ribosomal RNA, 601 nucleotides long. The stretch from base 235 to 388 matches the Rfam family "5.8S ribosomal RNA".
AAGUCGUAACAAGGUCUCCGUUGGUGAACCAGCGGAGGGAUCAUUACAGAGUUGCAAAACUCCCACAAACCAUCGCGAAUCUUACCCGUACGGUUGCCUCGGCGCUGGCGGUCCGGAAGGCCCUCGGGCCCCCGGACCCUCGGGUCUCCCGCUCGCGGGAGGCUGCCCGCCGGAGUGCCGAAACCAAACUCUUGAUAUUUUAUGUCUCUCUGAGUAAACUUUUAAAUAAGUCAAAACUUUCAACAACGGAUCUCUUGGUUCUGGCAUCGAUGAAGAACGCAGCGAAAUGCGAUAAGUAAUGUGAAUUGCAGAAUUCAGUGAAUCAUCGAAUCUUUGAACGCACAUUGCGCUCGCCAGUAUUCUGGCGAGCAUGCCUGUUCGAGCGUCAUUUCAACCAUCAAGCUCUGCUUGCGUUGGGGAUCCGCGGCUGCCCGCGGUCCCUCAAAAACAGUGGCGGGCUCGCUAGUCACACCGAGCGUAGUAACUCUACAUCGCUAUGGUCGUGCGGCGGGUUCUUGCCGUAAAACCCCCAAUUUCUAAGGUUGACCUCGGAUCAGGUAGGAAUACCCGCUGAACUUAAGCAUAUCAAUAAGCGGAGGAA